UAUUGCACAAUGGGGGAAACCCUGAUGCAGCGACGCCGCGUGAGCGAAGAAGUAUUUCGGUAUGUAAAGCUCUAUCAGCAGGGAAGAAAAUGACGGUACCUGACUAAGAAGCCCCGGCUAACUACGUGCCAGCAGCCGCGGUAAUACGUAGGGGGCAAGCGUUAUCCGGAUUUACUGGGUGUAAAGGGAGCGUAGGUGGCAUGGUAAGCCAGAAGUGAAAACCCAGGGCUCAACUCUGCGGAUUGCUUUUGGAACUAUCAAGCUAGAGUGCUGGAGGGGUAAGCGGAAUUCCUAGUGUAGCGGUGAAAUGCGUAGAUAUUAGGAGGAACACCAGUGGCGAAGGCGGCUUACUGGACUGUAACUGACGUUGAGGCUCGAUAGCGUGGGGAGCAAACAGG
RNAcentral lists this ribosomal RNA (398 nucleotides) under uncultured bacterium. RNAcentral's name for it is "bacterial SSU rRNA". It matches the Rfam family "Bacterial small subunit ribosomal RNA", at positions 362 to 776 of the family's 1533-position model. The record is from RNAcentral.